UGGACAGAAUCUAGUGCUUAGUAGGGAC
RNAcentral lists this non-coding RNA (28 nucleotides) under Mus musculus (house mouse). Lineage: Eukaryota; Metazoa; Chordata; Mammalia; Rodentia; Muridae. The record is from RNAcentral.